RNAcentral lists this ribosomal RNA (459 nucleotides) under uncultured bacterium. Its description in RNAcentral is "partial 16S ribosomal RNA". It matches the Rfam family "Bacterial small subunit ribosomal RNA", at positions 338 to 795 of the family's 1533-position model. The record is from RNAcentral.
ACUACGGGAGGCAGCAGUGAGGAAUAUUGGUCAAUGGGCGCGAGCCUGAACCAGCCAAGUCGCGUGAGGGAAGACGGUCCUAUGGAUUGUAAACCUCUUUUGUCGGGGAGCAAAAGACGCCACGCGUGGCGUUCCGAGAGUACCCGAAGAAAAAGCAUCGGCUAACUCCGUGCCAGCAGCCGCGGUAAUACGGAGGAUGCGAGCGUUAGCCGGAUUUAUUGGGUUUAAAGGGGGCGCAGGCGGAAGAUCAAUACAGCGGUAAAAUUGAGAGGAGCAAUCUCCUCGAGCCGUUGAAACUGGUUCUCUUGAGUGAGCGAGAAGUAUGCGGAAUGCGUGGUGUAGCGGUGAAAUGCAUAGAUAUCACGCAGAACUCCGAUUGCGAAGGCAGCAUACCGGCGCUCAACUGACGCUCAUGCACGAAAGUGUGGGUAUCGAACAGGAUUAGAUACCCCAGUAGUC